Molecule: non-coding RNA, 25 nt
Filed under: Cricetulus griseus (Chinese hamster)
Lineage: Eukaryota; Metazoa; Chordata; Mammalia; Rodentia; Cricetidae
Source: RNAcentral
UAUGAGAAUUUGGACUAAUUGCACC